UUUGCAUACCUGUCCUGCCUCACUGCUCCACACACUUUAAGACCCCCAGUACUGAUCAGUGACUGUCCAGUCCUUUCACAGACACUGACACAGGCAGCAUUAUGAUGAUGUUAAACUUUCUACUGCUGGUGACGCUGGGACUCCUUAUACAGGAAUCAAUGGCAGAUAUAGUUCUGACUCAGGAUCCAGCAGCUCAGUCUGUUCAGCUGGGAGACACUGUCUCUAUCAGCUGUACAGCCAGUCAGAGCGUUACUGGCUCCUACCACUACCUCAGCUGGUACCAGCAGAAACCUGGUCAGGCUCCUAAACUUCUGAUUUAUCUUGCCACAAGUCGCCAGUCUGGGAUUCCUGAUCGUUUCAGUGGGAGUGGAUCUGGGACUCAGUUUACACUGAAAAUCACUGGAGUCCAGGCUGAAGAUGCAGGAGAUUAUCACUGUCAGCAGUACAACAGCUACCCGCUCACACAGUGAUACAGAGCCGUACAAAAACCUCCCUCAGUCAGACUGCACAGAGACUGCACUGCUGCAGCUGGGACCUACUGCAGGUGCUGAGGGAGGGGGGAGGCACUGAUCCGGGACAAUGUGGGGCUCUGCUCAUAUUCUCAGCUGUUUUGUGCAAUAAUGAUUCACCUAUUCUAAUAUUUAAUACAAUUUCUCUAAAUGUUAAUGUGAGCACAUACAAAACAUUCCUAUUAAGAUUCACCUGAAUUAUAUAAGCACAAAUUUUUAAUUGAAAGAAUAUACUUGAGACACAGGAAUUGUGUCAGGAAUAAAUUUGUUUAAUCUCUUCUGAAACAUGAAAUGGAAUGUGGACCCUAUCACCACUUUGUAAACACAAGGAGAAGAUGCACAGAUUUAACAACAAUAGACUGAAAUUGAGAAUUGCAAUUCAAUGUUGUUCACUGGGUCAGAGCUGGGA
Molecule: non-coding RNA, 918 nt
Organism: Anguilla rostrata (American eel)
Lineage: Eukaryota; Metazoa; Chordata; Actinopteri; Anguilliformes; Anguillidae
Source: the annotation of a RefSeq genome assembly